AUCAAUCAAAGAUCUCUAUUUCAUCUUCCGGAGUGAUUCUUCACAGGAAAUAUAGGAGUAAAUCAGGAAGAGCAAGUGAAAACAGAGAAGGAAAAGCCCAUCGAUUGAGAGAUGCGAAAAGGGAAAAAGGUACCAUGCGUUCACUUACUCUUGCACUGGAUCGAGCGGCAACUGCUGCUGCUUUUCAUCACAUCGCUAGCGGCGCCCCCGUCCGUGCGCCUUGGCUGCUCCUCCACGGGACAGAAUGGCCACCGCGCUGCACGCGCCCGCGCCGUUGGAUGCACCCUCCCGUGUGGAGCGCCCGCGCCCGUCCGCGUCGCGUCGCGCCCUGCGCCCGGCUGCCGCCCGCAUUGCGCCAUGCACCGCGCUCCGGCCGCUCUGGCACAUGGAGCCCAGAGGCACUCGGACUCUUGAAUGGCGCCUCCAACGCGUCGCGCCUACUCCGAGGACGAGCGGGGCGGGAGAUCCUCAUGCCGCCGGUGGUGCGGCCGACCGGCCGUGGGCGUCUCCGCCUGUGCCCAAUCGGGCCGGCACGCCCUCCCCGGAGUCCUCUGGCACAGCCUUCUCCGGCCUCCAACGCGAGGCUCGGUGGCGUUCCGCCCGGGUCGUGGUCUCUCCACGAGUUGCCGGAGAAACGGCCGACCGGCCAUGGCAGUCGCCUCCCGCGUCGGUCGUGGGGAUUGGGG
This 686-nucleotide ribosomal RNA is filed under the name Triticum aestivum (bread wheat). RNAcentral's name for it is "partial small subunit ribosomal RNA". The record is from RNAcentral. Lineage: Eukaryota; Viridiplantae; Streptophyta; Magnoliopsida; Poales; Poaceae.